RNAcentral lists this ribosomal RNA (550 nucleotides) under uncultured bacterium. Its description in RNAcentral is "bacterial SSU rRNA". It matches the Rfam family "Bacterial small subunit ribosomal RNA", at positions 335 to 899 of the family's 1533-position model. The record is from RNAcentral.
AUUCCUACGGGAGGCAGCAGUGGGGAAUUUUCCGCAAUGGGCGAAAGCCUGACGGAGCAACGCCGCGUGAGGGAUGAAGGCCUCUGGGCUGUAAACCUCUUUUAUCAAGGAAGAAGAUCUGACGGUACUUGAUGAAUAAGCCACGGCUAAUUCCGUGCCAGCAGCCGCGGUAAUACGGGAGUGGCAAGCGUUAUCCGGAAUUAUUGGGCGUAAGGCGUCCGCAGGCGGCCCUUCAAGUCUGCUGUUAAAAAGUGGAGCUUAACUCCAUCAUGGCAGUGGAAACUGUUGGGCUUGAGUGUGGUAGGGGCAGAGGGAAUUCCCGGUGUAGCGGUGAAAUGCGUAGAUAUCGGGAAGAACACCAGUGGCGAAGGCGCUCUGCUGGGCCAUCACUGACGCUCAUGGACGAAAGCCAGGGGAGCGAAAGGGAUUAGAUACCCCUGUAGUCCUGGCCGUAAACGAUGAACACUAGGUGUCGGGGGAAUCGACCCCCUCGGUGUCGUAGCCAACGCGUUAAGUGUUCCGCCUGGGGAGCACGCACGCAAGUCUAAAC